This 201-nucleotide long non-coding RNA is filed under the name Nicotiana benthamiana. RNAcentral describes it as "long non-coding RNA (NBEN_LNC011534)". The record is from RNAcentral. Lineage: Eukaryota; Viridiplantae; Streptophyta; Magnoliopsida; Solanales; Solanaceae.
UCGUCUAAACCCGCUUGCGGUGCAUAAGCGCUGAUGACGUUGAGCACGCCGCCCCCAAUAGCCAGCUUGAUAGACAUUAACCUAUCAUUCACUCGCCUAACCUCGACCACGGACUCCCUUAGGUCCCUAUCCACCAAGAUGCCCACUGCACUCUUACCUCUCACGACCCCAGAAUACCACAGUUUAAACCCGUCUACAUCC